ACUUCUUCAGAAAACACAUCUUUAAUUUGUGUUAAUACAUAUUUCAAAAUUCUGUUGUAUGCUGAAAUGCAGUAUGUAAGUAAAGGUAAAAAGGUAAAGGUAAAGGACCCCAGAUGGUUAAGUCCAGUCAAAGGCAACUAUGGGAUGUGGCGCUCAUCUUGCUUCAGGCUGAUGAAGCCGGCGUUUGUCCACAGACAGCUUUCCGGGUCAUGUGGCCAGCAUGACUAAACCGCUUCUGGUGCGACACAACACCGUGAUGGAAGCCAGAGAACACAGAAAUACUGUUUACCUUCCUGCUGCAGUGGUACCUAUUUAUCUACUUGCACAGGUGUGCUUUCAAACUGUUAGGUUGGCAGAAGCUGGGAACUCACCCCGUUGUGGGGAUUUGAACCGCCAACCUUCUGAUCAACAAGCCCAAGAAGCUCAGUGGUUUAGACCACAGCGCCACCCACUCCCUAUAAGUACAUAUAUAAGUACCGUAUUUUUCACCCUAUAGGACACACUUUUCCCCCUCCAAAAAUGAAGGGGAAAUGUGUGUGCGUCCUAUGGGGCGAAUGCAGGUUUUCGCUGAAGCCUGGAGAGUGAGAGG
Podarcis lilfordi (Lilford's wall lizard) is the source of this 589-nucleotide non-coding RNA. NCBI's taxonomy places the organism in Eukaryota, Metazoa, Chordata, Lepidosauria, Squamata, Lacertidae. The record is from the annotation of a GenBank genome assembly.